Molecule: ribosomal RNA, 196 nt
Filed under: uncultured Pseudoalteromonas sp.
Lineage: Bacteria; Pseudomonadati; Pseudomonadota; Gammaproteobacteria; Alteromonadales; Pseudoalteromonadaceae
Description: partial 16S ribosomal RNA
Rfam family: Bacterial small subunit ribosomal RNA
Source: RNAcentral
CUCCUACGGGAGGCAGCAGUGGGGAAUAUUGCACAAUGGGCGAAAGCCUGAUGCAGCCAUGCCGCGUGUGUGAAGAAGGCCUUCGGGUUGUAAAGCACUUUCAGUAAGGAGGAAAGGUUAGUCACUAAUAUUGGCUAGCUGUGACGUUACUUACAGAAGAAGCACCGGCUAACUCCGUGCCAGCAGCCGCGGUAAU